Molecule: ribosomal RNA, 274 nt
Filed under: uncultured bacterium
Lineage: Bacteria
Description: partial 16S ribosomal RNA
Rfam family: Bacterial small subunit ribosomal RNA
Source: RNAcentral
AUACGGAGGGUGCAAGCGUUAUCCGGAUUUAUUGGGUUUAAAGGGUGCGCAGGCGGACCUGUCAGUCAGUGGUGAAAUCCCGGGGCUCAACCCCGGAACUGCCAUUGAUACUACAGGUCUUGGAUACGGUUGAAGUAGGCGGAAUGUAGCAUGUAGCGGUGAAAUGCAUAGAUAUGCUACAGAACACCGAUCGCGAAGGCAGCUUACUAAGCCGAUAUUGACGCUCAGGCACGAAAGCGUGGGUAGCGAACAGGAUUAGAAACCCUAGUAGUCC